AACGACUCUCGGCAACGGAUAUCUCGGCUCUCGCAUCGAUGAAGAACGUAGCGAAAUGCGAUACUUGGUGUGAAUUGCAGAAUCCCGUGAACCAUCGAGUCCUUGAACGCAAGUGGCGCCCGAGCCAUUGGCCAGGGCACGUCUGGUGGGUCGUCAC
Molecule: ribosomal RNA, 157 nt
Filed under: Eurypetalum tessmannii
Lineage: Eukaryota; Viridiplantae; Streptophyta; Magnoliopsida; Fabales; Fabaceae
Description: 5.8S ribosomal RNA
Rfam family: 5.8S ribosomal RNA
About the family: 5.8S ribosomal RNA (5.8S rRNA) is a component of the large subunit of the eukaryotic ribosome.
Source: RNAcentral